This 225-nucleotide ribosomal RNA is filed under the name uncultured bacterium. RNAcentral describes it as "partial 16S ribosomal RNA". It matches the Rfam family "Bacterial small subunit ribosomal RNA", at positions 118 to 338 of the family's 1533-position model. The record is from RNAcentral.
UGGGUAACCUGCCUCAAAGAGGGGAAUAGCCUUCCGAAAAGGAAAGAUUAAUACCGCAUAAUAUGUUUUGAUCGCAUGAUCAGAAUAUCAAAGGAGUAAUCCGCUUUGAGAUGGACCCCGCGGCGCAUUAGCUAGUUGGUGAGGUAACGGCUCACCAAGGCGACGAUGCGUAGCCGACCUGAGAGGGUNAUCGGCCANAUUGGAACUGAGACACGGUCCAGACCU